Long non-coding RNA from Octodon degus (degu), 742 nucleotides. RefSeq lists it as uncharacterized. The record is from RefSeq and is a predicted model, not a curated record. NCBI's taxonomy places the organism in Eukaryota, Metazoa, Chordata, Mammalia, Rodentia, Octodontidae. The transcript is spliced from 3 exons.
GAUCAAUAGCUACGCUUACCUGAAGGUUCCAGGUGAGCCUGGGUAGAGGGGCUGUCUAAGACACUACGGUCUGUGGGACGCUAUUUGGUUCUAGACCCUCCUGGGCACUGCGUGCCACUCCUGGAAGAAUCUUGAGGAACUUAGAAGAUGCCAGGCAGGGGGACUAAAGCUCCUCAAAAACACAGAUGUCAAAAAUCCCCAUGUGAAGGAGAUCAUGUAGGAGGAAUUUUACAAGAAUUGAAGCGGGUGGUUAGGAAUCCAGUCCACAUCCCCAGGGACAGAGUUCUACUCUGAGAUCAAAGACCGCCUGGAGCAGUUUAUGAGAUGGGAAGGAAGUGGGAGAAGGAUCCCGAACUCCUUGAGGGGUGUUCCAGAAUGACAAGCCUGCUUGGUAUAGCUGGCAUCGGCCCAGCGGUGUCCUUCAGAGCUAGGACAAGGUUCAUCAGAACCCCCAGCUGUCAUGUUGCAAAAGUCUCAGAGAUGUUUUGAAAGGAAGGCAUGUCUGGGACUGCUGGUCUACACUCCUGAGGCCUUCACUGGUCUACGCUCCUGAGACUCCUUACUGUGGUUCUCUUUCCUACAAAUACAGUGAGAGUUUUAGAAGGCUCCAAAAUAAGAAGACGGUUGCUCCUGCUUCUGGUAUGGACUGGUGGAGAACAAAAGGAAACUUUACAAAAGAGAGAAGCUUCAGAAAUAUGACAACUUUAAACUCGUUUUUAAAAGAUUUUUCCUGCUUGUACAG